GUCUCCGGCCAGUAGAUGGCACUGUAAUUCAGCGUAGCCAUUCAAACGAGUGAGAAUCCGGUGUUCACGUUUCUGCCGCUUUGGAAGCUGAAAGACUGACGUUGUUAAAACUUUUAAGGCCAAAGAGCCAGGACAGCUGAAGUUGUGCUCUCAGAGGUACAUUUUGGAGCUCGCUGGUGAUACUGACAAGGACCCUGCCUACUGAGACAAGAUGGUGGUUUUGGGCAGGAUGUGGAGUAAGCAGACAGUCACCACCACGUCUGCAAAGAUGUGGAAUCCUGUCCAACCAUUCAAGAAAUGGAUCAGAACACAAAUGCCAGAGGAUGAGACGAAGCGAGACCAGGAGUGACUUGGACAGUGGCUCUUAACCCUGGCCGUUGAAGACAGCUGUGACUUCCAGCUCUUGCAGCAGGCAAAGUUCUUAAUCACAGGACAGUUGAUUUCAACCUUCUAUUUUAGUUGUUUUUCUUAAAUGUCCUUUCAACUUUUAAGACAUUGAAAGAGGUCUUAGCUGAAAUACAAGCAAGUGACCUUUCGCAGAAGGA
This is a long non-coding RNA of Lepisosteus oculatus (spotted gar), 545 nucleotides long. RefSeq lists it as uncharacterized. The record is from RefSeq and is a predicted model, not a curated record. Lineage: Eukaryota; Metazoa; Chordata; Actinopteri; Semionotiformes; Lepisosteidae.